UAUCUAAAAAGACCUGUGCAACCAAAUAAAUACAAGAGGACAUGGUCUGAAAACGGGAAAUGAUGGCUGCUGUGCACGCAGAGCUAAUGACCCUUGAAAAAAAGAAGGCUGAAAAACUCAUUAUAAAUUACAUCAGGAAAAUUAUUUUGGCUGCAAAUGAGAAGCUACUGAAUGAAACUUCUCGGGUAGGUGUAAAC
Saccostrea echinata is the source of this 197-nucleotide long non-coding RNA. RefSeq lists it as uncharacterized. The transcript is spliced from 3 exons. Lineage: Eukaryota; Metazoa; Mollusca; Bivalvia; Ostreida; Ostreidae. The record is from RefSeq and is a predicted model, not a curated record.